CCUACGGGGGACAGCAGUGGGGAAUAUUGGACAAUGGGGGCAACCCUGAUCCAGCCAUGCCGCGUGUGUGAAGAAGGCCCUCGGGUUGUAAAGCACUUUCAGUGAGGAAGAACGCCUGGUGGUUAAUACCCAUCAGGAAAGACAUCACUCACAGAAGAAGCACCGGCUAACUCCGUGCCAGCAGCCGCGGUAAUACGGAGGGUGCGAGCGUUAAUCGGAAUUACUGGGCGUAAAGCGCGCGUAGGUGGUUUGAUAAGCCGGUUGUGAAAGCCCCGGGCUCAACCUGGGAACGGCAUCCGGAACUGUCAAGCUAGAGUGCAGGAGAGGAAGGUAGAAUUCCCGGUGUAGCGGUGAAAUGCGUAGAGAUCGGGAGGAAUACCAGUGGCGAAGGCGGCCUUCUGGACUGACACUGACACUGAGGUGCGAAAGCGUGGGUAGCAAACAGGAUUAGAUACCCUUGUAGUC
Molecule: ribosomal RNA, 465 nt
Filed under: Vreelandella stevensii
Lineage: Bacteria; Pseudomonadati; Pseudomonadota; Gammaproteobacteria; Oceanospirillales; Halomonadaceae
Description: partial 16S ribosomal RNA
Rfam family: Bacterial small subunit ribosomal RNA
Source: RNAcentral